RNAcentral lists this ribosomal RNA (253 nucleotides) under uncultured bacterium. RNAcentral describes it as "partial 16S ribosomal RNA". It matches the Rfam family "Bacterial small subunit ribosomal RNA", at positions 524 to 776 of the family's 1533-position model. The record is from RNAcentral.
UACAGAGGGGGCAAGCGUUGUUCGGAAUUACUGGGCGUAAAGGGCGCGUAGGCGGCCUUCUAAGUCGAACGUGAAAUCCCCGGGCUCAACCCGGGAACUGCGUCCGAUACUGAAAGGCUUGAAUCCGGGAGAGGGAUGCGGAAUUCCAGGUGUAGCGGUGAAAUGCGUAGAUAUCGGGAGGAACACCUGUGGCGAAAGCGGCGCACUGGACCACUUCUGACGCUGAGGCGCGAAAGCUAGGGGAGCAAACAGG